RNAcentral lists this ribosomal RNA (253 nucleotides) under uncultured bacterium. RNAcentral's name for it is "partial 16S ribosomal RNA". It matches the Rfam family "Bacterial small subunit ribosomal RNA", at positions 524 to 776 of the family's 1533-position model. The record is from RNAcentral.
UACGAAGGGGGCUAGCGUUGCUCGGAAUGACUGGGCGUAAAGGGCGCGUAGGCGGAUGGCAUAGUCAGAUGUGAAAUUCCCGGGCUUAACCUGGGGACUGCAUUUGAUACGUGUCGUCUUGAGUUCGGAAGAGGGUCGUGGAAUUCCGCGUGUAGCAGUGAAAUGCGUAGAUAUGCGGAGGAACACCGAUGGCGAAGGCAAUCCCCUGGGCCUGCACUGACGCUCAUGCACGAAAGCGUGGGGAGCAAACAGG